GCUAACGCGUGAAGUUGACCGCCUGGGGAGUACGGUCGCAAGAUUAAAACUCAAAGGAAUUGACGGGGACCCGCACAAGCGGUGGAUGAUGUGGAUUAAUUCGAUGCAACGCGAAAAACCUUACCUACCCUUGACAUGUCUAGAAUCCCUAAGAGAUUGGGGAGUGCUCGCAAGAGAACUGGAACACAGGUGCUGCAUGGCUGUCGUCAGCUCGUGUCGUGAGAUGUUGGGUUAAGUCCCGCAACGAGCGCAACCCUUGUCAUUAGUUGCUACGAAAGGGCACUCUAAUGAGACUGCCGGUGACAAACCGGAGGAAGGUGGGGAUGACGUCAAGUCCUCAUGGCCCUUAUGGGUAGGGCUUCACACGUCAUACAAUGGUCGGGACAGAGGGUCGCCAACCCGCGAGGGGGAGCCAAUCCCAGAAACCCGAUCGUAGUCCGGAUCGUAGUCUGCAACUCGACUACGUGAAGUCGGAAUCGCUAGUAAUCGCGGAUCAGAAUGUCGCGGUGAAUACGUUCCCGGGUCUUGUACACACCGCCCGUCACACCAUGGGAGUGGGUUUCACCAGAAGUAGUUAGCCUAACCGCAAGGGGGGCGAUUACCACGGUGGGGUUCAUGACUGGGGUGAAGUCGUAACAAGGUAGCCGUAUCGGAAGGUGC
This 660-nucleotide ribosomal RNA is filed under the name uncultured bacterium. Its description in RNAcentral is "bacterial SSU rRNA". It matches the Rfam family "Bacterial small subunit ribosomal RNA", at positions 851 to 1515 of the family's 1533-position model. The record is from RNAcentral.